Long non-coding RNA from Lycium barbarum (goji berry), 931 nucleotides. RefSeq lists it as uncharacterized. The record is from RefSeq and is a predicted model, not a curated record. The transcript is spliced from 2 exons. Lineage: Eukaryota; Viridiplantae; Streptophyta; Magnoliopsida; Solanales; Solanaceae.
AAAAAACCACACACCAAAAGCGAAAAAAGGGUUUUUUAUUUUUUAUUUCAAGAACUUACAACCCAAAAUGCAGAAAAUUUCAGCUAGCCAGAAACACCAACAGCCCACCAUCUCUUCCAAUCUUCAUCACUUAUAACCGAAUCACCCGACCCGACCCGAACCCGUGCCCUACAAACGGGGCAAUUAAGCACCCUCACAAGCCAAGAAUCCACACAUUUCACAUGAAACACGUGUCCACAAUCAGGCAAUUUCCUUACAUAUUCACCAUCCUUAAACCCAUCCAAACAAAUCGCACAAUCCCCAAUAGAUGAUUGAUGUUGGGACACACCACCACAAUAAGGAAUCUCCUCCAACGGCGGAGAACGGUGGAGGUGUCGACGGCGGUGACGAUGACGGCGGCGAAAGGCGGUGGAAGUGAUUAAGAAGUGAAGAAUAACGAGAGCGGCGAAACCAAGAAAGAGAAGGAAAACAAAGAAAAGGGAAAGGAAAAUAGCCAUAACUAUACAUUUUAAGAAAAGGGACAAGGUGAGAAUGAUCGCCGUAGUAGACAAGAUGAGGAAAGCGAGACUGAGAUGAUUUGGACAUGUAAAAAGCAGGUCCGAGGAUGUUGCACUAAGGAGUUGCGAGAUAUUAACUAUAGCUGAAAUUAGGAGAGGUCAAGGUAGACCGAAGAAGAAAUUGGGGUGGGGUGGGGGUGGGGUGGGGGGGGGGAUUGAUUAGACAAGACAUGACACAAUUUCAGUUAGUUAAGGACAUGACGUUAUAUAGAAAGAUAUGGAGGUCAAGUAUUAGGGCCGAAUGUUAGUAGGUAGCUAAGUGUUGCCAUACUUUUAGUAGUAUAUUUUAGGUAUCGUUUAGUUUCUCUUUUCGACUAUAUGUAUGAUAUUUGUUGCUGCAAUUAUUUUGUAUACUACUAUUUCAUUGUCCCUUU